Equus caballus (horse) is the source of this 14665-nucleotide long non-coding RNA. The record is from Ensembl. NCBI's taxonomy places the organism in Eukaryota, Metazoa, Chordata, Mammalia, Perissodactyla, Equidae.
GCAUAUUUUGGAGUAAAUUAUACUAAUAUGCAAGCACUGAUUUUGGAAUACAAUCAUUUAAACUGCCUGCCAGGGUUUUACGUCUAAGGCUGGCAGCUCAGUUAAGAAGGAAGGUUUGGCACCUAAAGAAAUGACACUGCUCUCUCCGAUGCUCCACAACGUGCCGCCUGGCAUGGGAGAUUGUCCAUUCAUUUGUUUGUUUGAAAUUUAAAUAAAAUCCUCAUUGGGAAGUGCCGGUUAAAAUCUCGGGAAAACUCUCAACUAACGGACAGGACCAUUAGCAGCGACAUAAACUGGGAAGUGGGAGGGCCUUGAAGACGUCAUACGGAGCUCUCUGCCAGCCUUGGGAAAGCACAGUCCAUGUGACGCCCAACAAUGCCACCAAGAUUCCAGGAGGAGCUGAGCCCACGAACACGGGACUUUGACGGCGUGCUCGAGUUCCUGAAGGGGCGAUUCUGGCCAGGGCAGAGCUGCAGGCUGUCGGUCGGGGCUGCUCAGAACUCAGUUGGGUGAAGGCACUGAGAAGCGAGGCCAUCUGAAGGCAGUGCCGUGGAUGUCGCUGAGUGGACUGUCUGACGUGUCUGUCCCCAUCCCGGGGAGGAGAGCUACGUAUGGCCGUUGAGCAGUUCCCAGACCCGGGCUGAAUCACUUCUGCUUUUGGGAGGGGACUCAGUUGCCACCACUGUCCAGAAAAGAGCAGUGAUCGCUGUUGGCGGGGCUCUUGAGAGGAUGGAAGGAGCUGAACUGAAGGUCCAUACCCGGCCCGUGAGCCUCGGUCUCGGAAGCUCUGCUCGUGUUUGCCUGUCACCGAAAGCUCAGGAGAAGAAAGUGCCCCAGGGCUGGAGAUGGGAAGGGAGGAAGUGAAAGUCAAAUCACGCCGUGCGUUUCGGUUUAAAAGCCACCGUAGGAACAAGCCUUGCCAGGGGAAAAAGUUGAAACUAAAUGAGGCUUUCAGUUUUCUGCGGGUUUCAGUGAUUCAAAUGAGCCCCAGGGCUCCCUUUUGUCUCCCGGGUGUUGCAGAGGUCACACCCCGGGUUGGCAUGAGAUAAAACGCUGCUGUGCACACAGAAACCGCUUGUGCACUAGCCAGGCUCUCUCCGAAGGCCAAGUGCCCGAGCCACUGCUGUUGUUUCUGUUUUAAUAUUCCCGGAGUGUUGAAAAGUGAGAUGCCGAAACAGAACUACAUUGUAGUGCAGUUUUUAACAUUUAUGUUGAAAAAAUUAGUAAUUUUAACACGCAUUUAAAUAACUGCGAUAUAAUUAUCUUGCUUUUCAAAAGACGACCACGUUUAUAAGCAACGUUCAUGUAGGAUGCGCUCUAAAGAGUGGGACCCAAAUUUAAGGCUGUGUGAUGAGUGACUCCUUCCAGUCCUUAGAGUGGAUGUCACCGCACGGACAGGCUCAUCUGGAAAUGGUGUCAGAAGCCUUUAUUCGAGGGAGCCUUUCAAAACUGCACGGCUGAGCUCAAAUGCUCUCCUGCCCCAGCCGCCCAGCAACUUGGCCUCCAGCCCCACCACAGAUACCCCGCUAUCGAGUGUGUCCUUAUGACUGUGAAGCAAGAAGGAGAAAAAUAAGGAGGAUGGAGAGGUCCAGUAUGGAGUGCUCCUUUCACAAAGAUUUUCCAGUACCUACUGUGUUCGGAGGCAAUGACCCGGUGCUGUGCUUGAGCUCAUAGUCAGGGUUCGCAUCUGAGAGUUUCAUUCUCUCCUCACGUGUGGAAUCUCUGCAACGCUCAGCUGUCUCCUUGGGUACCUCAUUUGUGAGGCUCCUUGUUGGCUGUCGUGAGCAUGCAAUGGCUUAUACACAUCCAGUUACCGGAGUGGUGCCGGCACAGGGAAGGACCAGCACACACGUGCCGCCUGCAGAGGCUUAACUCCCGCUCCUCCGUGCAUUCUGCAUUCCACCCACUCUGCAAGCUGCUUCACCUGAAACCACUGCCUGGCAGUACGGGAAGGUUUUGGUAAAGCACGAGGAAAUGCUACUCCAUGGAUGAGGGGAACAAAGGCAUCAGUUUUAUUAAGGAAACUCUUACAAAUCCAUCCAUCAACCAUUCGACAAGCUGCACUGUGCUUGGUGCUAGCUAGGGGCUGCAGACACCGUAGUGGAUGAAAAGUGCAUAAGUAAUCAGUGUACAGCUCAAUUAAUUUUCACAGCAUGAACACACGUGUCAUUCAUACCCAGGUCAAGAAUCAGAAUCAGCAGCGCCCAGAUGCCUGCCUGUACCCACUUCUAUGCACAACCGCCUCCCCGGGGGAAAUAGUACUCUAACUUCUAAAACCACAGAUUAAUUUUGCCUGUUUUUAACCUUUAUAAAAAAGGAAUCACAACAGGUUGUCUUUUGAGACUGGCAUUUUGUUUUUACUCGUUAUUAUGUUUGUGAGAGUCGCCCUUUCUUGUGUAUAAGUUGUAGCUUAUUUAUUCUCACUCCUACAUGUUAUCCCAUUGUGUGAAUGAAUACACCAUGGUCUUGUAUCCAAUCUACUGCUGAUGGACAUUUGAGUUGUUUGCAGUUUGGGAAUAUUACAAAUUACACUGCAGCUGACAUUCUUGUAUGUGCCAUCUGUUGUGUAUAUGCCUGCAUUUCUGUUGGGUGUUUACUUAGGAGUGGAAUUGCUGAGUAUAAGGGAUGGGUAUAUUCAGUUUGAACAGAUACUAUCAAGCAGCUUUCCAAAGUAAUUGUAACAAUUUAUACUCUGCUCAGCAGAGUAUGAGAGUUCUGGUUGCUCUAAAUUGUCUGUCUUUUCCACUUUAGCCAUUUUGGAGAGUGUCUUGUGGUAUCUGUAUUAUGACGUUAAUCUGCAUUUCCCAAUGACUAAUGAAGUCAAAUGCCUUUUCACAUGUUUAUUUUCUGUUUGGAUAUCUUCUCUUGUGAAGUAUCUAUUCUGACAUUUGCCCAUUUUCCUGCUGAGUUCUCUUCCUUUUUCUUAUUGAUUUGAAGGAGCACUUUGUAUGUUCCAGGUAAGAGUCCUUUGUCAGUUAUAAGUAUUGAAACUGUCUUCUCCCAGUCUGUGGCUUAUCUUUUUACUCUUCUAAUGGUUUUAAAGAACUGAAGUUCUUAAUUUUAAUGUAGUCCAAUUGAUCGAUAUUUUUCCUUUUACAGUUACUGCUUUCUGUGUCUUAAGAUAUCUUUGCCUGAGAUGGUUCUUGUGGACGCAGCUAGAGCGAGGCAGGGAAAUUGUUAUGCACCGUGUUGCCUGUACAAGCAAAAAUACAGUCAGGAUAGCUACACGUGACCUCAAGAAAGCAAAGCACGAGCUGUCUGUUCAUGCCUUCUUUGGGAAGACCUGCUGGGAGGGACACAUGAGGAAAAACCCAGAGACCCCUGUGAACUGUGUGUUUUCCAAGUGCUCUGAGAGGGGCAAUACAGGGUGUGGGAAAGAGAAGUACAAAUUGAUGAAAUGGCAAAGUGCACCAGAUCAGGAAAUGAAGGAUUGGAGACCAGCUAAGGGAGGCAACAAGAAAGAUCGUACUAUCCCAAAUACCCUCAUACUCCACUUGGCUUCUUCCUCUUCUGCUUAGACCUCUGCCUAAGGUCAAAUCCAUAAACCUAGGCAUUUCCAUUGGAGACCUGGCCAAAUGGCUGGUGACAUGUUGUGGUAUGCAGAAUUCCUAUCACUCACAUGAUCGUGUGAAGUUCUAUGGCAGAGUUGACCUUAAUAUAGGAGAUUAUCCUGGUGGGUGUGAUUAAAUCAAUGGAAUUUUGCUAAGCAGAGAGCUUCCUCCAGCUAAUGGCAGAAGAGGAAGCCAGAGAGAUUUGAAGAAUGAAGGGGAUUUGGCUUGUAGAUGCAGGACACCACGUGAGAAGAAAGUCAGGCAACCUUAAAGAGCUGAGAGAGGGCCCUGGCCAGCAACCAUCAAGGAAAAAAGGUCCUCAGUCCUACAACCACAGGAACUGAAUUCUGCCCACAAUGUGAACGAGCCUGGAAGUGAUGUCUACUCAGAGCUGGCCGAGGACUCAGCUUGGCUGAUAACUUGAUUUCUGCCUUGUGAUUCCCUGAGCAGAGAAGGCAGCUACACCGUGCUGGACUUCUGACCUACAGGACUGUGAGCUAAAAAUGGGUGCUAGUUACUCUGCAAAGUUUGUAGUAAUUUGUUACACAGUGACAGAAAAAUAAAACACGUGGACUAGUUUGAGUCCUAGUGAAAACUUACCUUAUAAUAAGGCAACAAAGUUGAAGAUGAAUAAGAAGGACGUUGCCCACUGUAACCUAAAAGAAAGUGGUCGGUUAAAGGGCCGUCUAACAUUCCCCAGAGAAAAAGCUGGAGGAGGAAGAUGAAGAGUAUGGGAGAGGGAUAAAGAGGACGGGGAGGGGAGUAACUAAGAACACUGUGCACCUGCCUCCAUGGGAAUCCGUGAGGACAAUGCAGCAAGUGACCCAUCUCCCAUUUGAGAUGGUGUCUGUUGCUCUCACCGAGUUUAAUUCCACAGCUGGAACAUGACCACAUUAUAGUUCUUGAGAUGCUCUAGAAACCCCGGGUGGUUUCCGUGCUAUAUUUUAUGAGUGUCGCAAGCACCCUGAAAUGCUAUCAAAGUCACUCAUAUGUUCACAUAUUUUCAAAAUAAAAAGACACUCUUUUGUUGUCCUCACUCCAUGAUCUUAGAGAUUCAUGUAAGAGGGCAAUUAAAAUGUUUCUGGAAUUUAAAAAAUUUAUUUGUAAGGUGGUGUUACAGAUUGGAAAUCCUGAGCUAUCCACUGUAUAAUCUAUAACUUUGUAAAAAGAACGAGACACUAGAGCCUCCUGUGGUCCACGCUGUGCUGUGAUGCUGUGAUGCUGUGGGAGCUGGCACGUUUUCUAGGUGCCUCAGGGAUGAGGCCAAACCCGUUGACGCUGCUUCUGGUUGUCUUGUUUUUCUAUCUAGAGACAGAACGUUCUGCUGACAUUCUUAGGUCUCGAUCCAUCUCAGUUGAACUUCUGGUGUGGUGUGAGGCCGGGUAAUGGUCCAUCCUUGCCUCCCCCGGGAGCCCUGUGUCUUCACCUUGCCCCUCCCCUCGGCGGGUCCUCAACACCUCUUGCGAGACUGCUGAAAACGCUGAGAUGAUUUUCCGGGGCUUGCUGCUUCUCUUUUUCAGUCUCCACUCCUCAUAUACCCCCAACUCAGGAAAUGCCUGAAGGGAAAUCCAACCAUGUGAUGGAGGCCCCCCAUGUCUCUCAGAAAUUCUCUGGUAUCUCUGUCCCCAGACGCCCACCUUCUGCCACGACCCAGAAUGGGCGAAUGUCCUGGGGGCAGCUGCUGGUCAGCUUCCUCCCUGAGGAUCCACUCACUCCAGUGUCAGCGGCUUGGGUCCUGCUGCCCCAGCAGCUCUCCAGUGCCUCCAAACAGAGAUCUCUGCAUUUAAUGGGACCUUGCCUGCUUUGCUGGACAGAAGUGCUGGUCUGCGACAGGUUAUUCCAUAGCCCCCAAAACAGCACAUGCAUUUUUAAUCGUAAUCAUGGUAAAGUUAGGAGGUAAAAACACCACUCAGGGUGCUAGUGCAAGAGGGAAUACUAGGAGUCUUUGGCUCAAGAAGUCCACUGUCUUCCGUAGAAGCCACUGUCAUUUAUCGUUAGUGGACCUGAGCCUGGAGCACACGGACAGGGCGUUGGUGAAAGAACCGGCAGCCAGUGUCUAAUCCCACUUUCCCCCUCAGUCCGCCUUGUGGAACAAGUAAGUUGGCGCCUCUCCAGGUCCCAGCUUCCCUGAUCCUGGCAUCGCUUCUUCAGCUUAAGAACAGGAUCCUACCUUUUAAGUGCUCUAAACCCUUGGAACAAAAGGCAGCCAUUUAAAAAGAGGUGCCACAGAAAUUUCCUUCAUGCAUUUAAAAUGAUGUGUGUAUGCUUGAAAAUCAAGACAGUAGUGUUUCUAAAAGUUGGGGAGGAAGCAGAAGAAAUUCCCACAAGGCCGCAUAUUAGCUACUGAAACACAAUCCUUAGAGGAAGGAUGUCAGAGCAAACGCCUCUUUGCCUGCACACAUUUCCGUCUAUAAUUGCUUCCAGGUCCACUCCAGCAGCUUGGGUGUGAACACAGGUUUAUAAAAGUCAUCUGUAGCAAAUGAAAUUAAAAGCCCCCAAUCAAUACUACCAUUGGAUUAAGGCUGAGUUUAUCUUGAUAAUAUUUAGUGUUCUGGGAUGGAAUGGAGUUCAGGGUACUUUUUUUCUCUCUCAGGCUUGAAUUUGCAACUGGCGAUGCCUAAUGACCAAGGAAGGAGUUUUCAAAAACAGAGCCCAGAGAUGGAUGAGGGCCCAGGCAGGCUGGACAGUCACCGCUGCUAGCGGGAGGGUCCUUAGGUCAGGAGCAGGAUGUGCUUGCAAGCUUCCUGGCAGCUGGCCUCCAGCUGAGGAAACUGCAGUAGUGAAGGACAGGCAGGGACCUGAGCAAAUCUGAGUAAUCACCCCUUUGGGAGAAAAACUGCAUAAAUAAUUACUUGAAAUUCUCUCCUAAAGUAGAGUCAGAAGAAAACGAAUGUUGCCUAGAUGGGAGCCAACACCCAGCAAUAACUUCAGCUAAUAGAGGAUGUGAUGGCUCAGAAGAUAAACAAAAUAAAGUGUAGGAGAAGCACAAGGAAAACAAACGAGAGAAAUAGGGAGGGAAUAAAACACAGGAGGAGCUGGGAGGAAGCAGCUGCUUGGGGACAAGCCAGGGAGAAAUGUGAAAAGAAAAAAGAAAGAGCUUACCAGGCUGGUGGGGGAUGUUGAUAAUGGGGGAGGCUGUGCAUGUGUUGGGGCAGGGGCUAUAUGGGAAAUCUCUGUACCUUCCUCUCAAUUUUGCUGUGGACCUAAAACUGCUCUCAAAAAAUUGAAGUCUAAAAGAAAAGAGCCUAGAAAAAGCCAAUCAAACAGGUAAUAUUGUGUGGUUGCUGGGGUUGGCGGGGAGUGGCACCGUUCAUUAGAAAAGCAUCUUAUUCAAAGGCGUGGACCUUGACCACUCCUUCAUUCAACAUUAGGGAACAUCCCUCUCGGGAUUUUGGCUCAAGGAAAAAAGAGAAACAGCCACGCAGAACAGAGGAGGGCCCCAAACCCGAGAGGACAGGCUACCGGAGGAGGUCUUCAACAGAUUGUCCAUGCCAGUCUCCCGCCCUUUUGCAUAUGGGACCCCACCACAGCGUGGCUUGAUGGCUUGAUGAGCAGUGUGUAUCUCCGUACCCAGGAUCUGACCCUGCAAACCCCUGGCGGCCGAAGCAAAGCAUGUGAACCUAACCACUACGCCCCCGGGGCCAGCCCCAAUUCUGAUAUUUUAUACUCCUCAUACAACUGCCAUAAGGAAGAGACAUAGGAAAUAGAAUAAUAGUAAGAAAAACUAAAGUUAGUGGUAAUACACGUUAUUAUAUAUGAUGUAUUUAUAUAGAUUUAUUAUGUAAUAUGUACCAUUAUAUAUCAUAUACAUUAACGUAUGUUAAUAUUGACUUAGCAGUUGAGACUAAGCACAUACCAUCCCCAAAAGUCUUCUCUCUUUUAUCGUAAAGUGUGAAUGGACCCCGGAUUGGAGUUUUAUCUUGGCGCUUAAGGUUCACCGUAUUUUUAAAGACAUUCUAACUCUUGCUGGAUCUCAGAAUACCCAUUCCCUAACCUGUACAACUUCUGUGUCACCACUAUUUUGAAACAUAUAUUCCCUAAAUUAUAGCACAAUGAAAUCGUCCAGCAAGCUGUAAUCAUAAAUAUAAUGAUUCUUUGUACUUUCAAAGUGCUGCACUGCAAGAGCCAGAACAGGCUUCCUGAAGCCGGGCCCACACUGUGUCCUCGUGGUUUUAUAGCUGAGAAAACUGAACAGGGAGCAGCUAGCAGUUUGGGCCAGUGCCACAGCAAGGCAGCAAGAAAGCUGGAAUCCAACGGAAACGUCUCACACUCGACGGUGGACUUUCUGUGCCGGGAAACGUGAAAUAAGAAGGAAAAAUUAUAAAUUAGGGUUGUGGAAGUAUUUUAAUCAACUUUAUAUAUUUACCAAUUAAAAGCUAGUAUUUCAUAAGUAAUACCAUUUAAGAGUAGUACUAAGAAAGAAUAAUAUGGUUUUUGUUUUAGUCAUUUGCUUCUUGAUCUCUCAUAAUUAAAAUUUGCCAUAAAAACUCAAAUUUUCAUCUUUUUAGGGCAAGAGUGGAGAAAAUGAAAUGAGCUGAAGAGUGCGUAUGAAAUUUAUUUUAUUCAAGUGAAGAUUUAUGCUGGCAGAUUUCAUUCCGGCUGACAUUGACCUUUUCGGACGAGAUGAGAGGUCAGUUCGGAUGCUGUCUGUAGUUGUCGAGUCCUUUAAACUGUUCCUAAAGGUAAAGCUGCGUGCUUUGGAUGAAAGAAGACUGUGCCGCAGUCCGGCAGGGCGUCUGCUCAUGUGCCUGGGCCUCAGGAUGAGGCAAACCUGGCCGGGAGACUGCCUGGCUGCCUGGCGUUUUACUUGUCCAGUCCAGACACUCAGGGAGAACUGAGUGCUGGAGCCGGUGGGGUGGGGUGAGGUGGGGUGGUCGGGGCUGGGGGAGUAGGGAUCAGGGAUAUGGAGUUUGGGGUGUUGUUUGCUCUGAAGUUCAGACACAGAUGUGAAAACAACCGAUCGAGGCAGCCCCAGUGCCGCACCCGUCACCUUCCAGCUCUCACCAGCGGACGGCUGGAUCGCACACAUAAAAUUCUGUCUCUCUGUAACACACAACUCCCAGCACAGCCUGUGUUGAUUUUGUGGAAGGAAAUUGGAUUUGAGGUCUGCUGACCCGCCUCUGGGUCCUCCUCACAAUGGGCUGAGUGGCUUUGAAGGAGUCACUUGACCUCUUCUAUACCAGAGGGAGAACAUUGAUAAAUCGUGGAAUUGUUGCUUCGAUUCAUUGAGAUACCAGAUCUGGGGGGAGUGCUUUGUAAACUGUAAAGUACCGUAGAAAUAUUAGUUACUGUUAACUCAACAAACGGCUGUCUGUGUCACUCAAUGACCCAUUCGUGGAUGCCUUCUCGUCCCACCUACACUUCGCUUCCGUGCUUAACUCCUGAGAGAUCUCUGUAACAAGAGACAACACGCCCCCUGCCAUCGUGCGGCCUCAUGGCUGUAGGACCCGUGCCGUCUCGUAGUCCCUGCGCUCAGACAGGCCCUGUGCUUAGUUUAAUGCUCUGCUGUCAUCUUGAAAUUCUUAUUAAUUUUCAAACACGGGGCUUGCAUUUUCAUUUUGCCCUGUGCCCUGUGGAUGAUGGAGCCAGUGUGACCUGUCCUGUUUCUCUAACUCAUAAGAAAUGCCUGACUUUAAAAAUUCCUUGGAAUUUGCUCCAUUCCCAGACAUCUGCUUUGAGUAUCUCUAUGGAGCAAGUAGUUAUAAAUUAAUAUUUUUUAUUAAAGUAGUUUAUAUUUGAUAUAUAGUCUGUGCGUGUUUCCUGGAUAAAGCACAAUGCAAAAUUGUGACCCGAUGGUAGGUUAUCUCCAGACCAUCUAGAUUCUGAAUUUCUGGAGGAACAUGUUUUCUGUUCCUGGGCUCAGUGCCUGGCACGUUGAGGAUCCUCAAUAAAAUGUAGUGGACUGUGUGUGCACCACGUACACUGUACUGAUCCACUGCGAGAGACGGUCUCUGUGGAUGACAAAGGCAUCCUUAUGGGUGACUUAUGGUUUUAUUUUCUUUAUUGUGGCUUAUAUUGGCUAAGGGCAUUUGACUUUCAAAACACCAGUUGCUGCAGCUUUCUUCAGAUUUUUUUAAUGUCUCCCAUUAAAAGCUUCGACUCUAGGAAAAAAAUGCAAAUGUAUUUUAUGUUUUGUUCCCAAUUAUAAUAUAGUCAAACCUGAUAUUCUUGUUAAGGAAAGUUAGGUUGUUUGACUUUGUUCAUUUGGUAAUGAAAUGACAGUCAAAUAAUUUUAAAGUGUAUAUAAUUUGUUUUCAAUUAUAAGUAAAGCUGGUUCACCUCAGAUGGGUCUCAGGUGUACAUUUCGGGGGGUGGCACUUUGCAGGAGAGAGGCAGACGCAAGUCAGAACCGAGUCUGUAUUAGUUAUCUACUGCUGCAUAAAAAUUUGCUCUAAAACAUGUCCGUCUAAGACAACACUUAUUUUUCACCCAGUUUCUGCAGGUCAGGACUCUGGGAGCAGCCUCACUAUGCUGUUCUGGCUCAGGAUCUCCAAUGAAGCUGUGGUCAAGAUGUCGGCUGGGCUUAGUCAUCUGAAGGCUCGACUGGGGUGGAGGGUCUGCUCCCAAGAUGGCACACUCCAUGCCUGUUAGCUGGAGGCCUCAUCUCCUCCCAGUGUGAGCCUCUCCACUGGGCUGCUUGAGUGUCCUUGAGACAGGCCACUGCUUCCACCAGAGCAAGCAACCCAAGGGAAAGGGAGACAGAGGCCACAGUGGCCCUCAUACUCCAGCCUCCAGUGUGAUCUCCCACCAUUCCUCCUGGGUUCUGCUGGUUACACACAUAAUCUUGGUCCGUUCAGGAUGCUAUGACAAAAUACCACAAACUGGGUGGCUUAUCAACAACAGAAACCUGCUUCCCUCAGUUCUGGAGGCUGGGGAGUCCAAGAUCAAGGUGCCAGCAUGGUCACGUUCCCGUGAGGGCUCUCUGCUGCGUUCAUUGCUGACACCUCACUGUGUCCUCACAUGGUGGAAGGGGCAGAAGUCUCUGUGAGGUCUCUUUUAUAAGAACACUAAUCUCAUUCAUGAGGGCUCCAUCCUCCUGACCUAGGCACCACUCAAAGGCCCCAUCUCCUAACACCACCGCGUUGGGCAAUAGGAUUUCAGCAUAUGAAUUUUAGGGGGACAGAAACAUUCAGAGCACAGCACAGACCAACCCUGACACAAUGUGGGAGGGGACUAUAGAGGGGUGUGAAUACCAUGAGGUGGGAUCAUUGGGACUAUCUUGGAGACUGGCUGCCACGAAGUGGCAGGUGGCUGAGCAUUAGCCUCGCCCCUCUGCCAUUUCACCUGAAUUCUGCUGGGAAAAAGGGGCCAUGUCCAAAGGCUGUUAUCUUAAACUCCUGCCCGGCAGUCUGAAGGCACGGGAAGUCAGACUCAGGGUAAUUUUCAAGUCCAGCCAAUGCAUUUUUAUUAGACACUGAAUUAGUUGGCUGACUGCAUUGUCUAACCCCGGAACAAGCAUCUACAUAAAGGAGGCCAUGAAGUGGCUCUACUUACUACGUCCUUAGUGCCAAGUGUCACCAGGUCACGGGGCAUGGGUUGUCUUAGAGAAAGAUAAGCGGAAAGCAAUAGAUUGUGAUGUAUAAUCAAGCAGUGGAAAGUGCAACACAGACUAAAUGUGGAGGAAUUUAGGGCUUCCUGCUGGUUAGCAAGAAUACAAAGCUUCCUGAAGGCGUAGGUUUGUGGAGAACCGAAUAAAGAAACACAGGAGAGAUGAAAGGGGCUGAGGCUAGGAGGGCAGCCCCGAGCAGCGGCAGGAGGGCAAGAGGCUGAUUCAGAAGCCUCGGAGGCUUGAGUGAGGCUGACUUCCAUCCUCAGGGGAAGGCACAGAGGGUCCCGCUCGCCCUGUACAUCGGGAAGGUGGAAGGAGGCAGAGUUAUCAACAGAGGGAGGCCAAGCCAUGGGCGUCUCUCAGACGUCCACCAUGUGCAAUGCUCUUCCCAUGUGAUUCCAUUUAACCUCCAAACGACCGGAGGAGGCGAGGGUAGCCUUCUCUCUAGAGAAGUGGGUUUGGAACCCAGGGUUGUUUGCAUCCAAAGCACACACUGUUUUCACAAGACUCUCACUGUCUCUGUAGGGAUGGAUCAGCUGAAACCUUCAAGAAACAGACAGCACCGGGACCGGAGUGGGAGGAGGGGGCAGCAGGCUGUGUAGCCGGCACGGAGCCAGUGGGUAAACUUCCUCCUUUCUGCCUCAAGCCUACAAGGCAGACUUUGACCCUUCUCGAGACUUCAUAAAGGAACAGCUGUCCACCAUUUCCGCCCUACCUCCUGUCAAGACACGCCCAGUGUGGACCAGGCCCCGCCGCCCCGCAGACGGAGAGGGGAGAGAGAUUCACUUCACGCCCAUUUCAAAGUGGACGCAUUCGCCUUAAACGACCUUAAGUUUAAAGGCAGUUUCUCACGUGGAACUGAGAGUGGCUGUUUAAAGAAGAGAUGGCAAUUAUGUUAUCAAAUUAUAGUGUGGAAAAUAAAACACAGGAAGCAUUUCGUGCUUAGACAGUGGAGUGUAGAAGAGUCAGGAGCCAGGUUCAAAUUCUGGCUCCACAUCCAAACAGAUCUGUGACUUAGAGCAAAGUACAUAAGCUCAAGGCCUCACCUGUGGAACAUGGAAGAUGAGGCCUACAUCGUUAGGAUAUUGUUUUCUGAGGAAGAUUGGCCCUGAGCUAACAUCUGUGCCAAUCUUCCUGACUUUUGUAUGUGGGUUGCCACAACAGCAUGGCUGAGGAGUGGUGUAGGUCCAUGCCCAGGAACCAAAGCCACGAACCCGGGCCACUGAAGCAGAAUGCGCUGAACUUAACCACUAUGCCACAGGGCUGGCCCUAAAGACGGUAACUUUUAAUACUACUGUGGGUAGCACAUAGGAGGUGCUGUAUAAACCAUAGUUACUUUUAUUAAAGUGAAUUGUUUUUUUCCAACAAAAGAUUUAUCAUUCCAGCUAUGGUCAGCCUUGGCUAGAAAUAUAACUUGUCUGCAUUUUUAGAUAGACACUUAUGAAUGGUGGGGUGUUUACCUAAGAGUACAGGCUGCAUUCGUAGUUACACUGUGCUUCCAUGGGGUGGGGGGAGCAGCUUCAGAGCUGGCGGGUGCCAUGAAUGUUCCCAAGUUGGAGAAACACACAGAAAGAACCAAGGGUGGUUAAAAAUACUAUAAUCUUCUCUUAGAGUGAUGGCAAGAUGGGGGAACAUGUGGAUAAGAAUGGUGUACGCGUUGGGGGGUGUGGACAUGGAGCAAACCAAAGUUCGAGUGGAGGAGUGAAUGGACCAAUGGAUUUGAAGGUACUUUGAAAAGUGUAUGUGCCAUGUGCAUUAUCGUCAGGGGCCCGCCGCCAGUUCUCAGCGUGUUAGUGGCAGAAGAAGGGAAAACGGAACACAGGGUUCCUAAAGCCCAGCCAGAUGCUGUCUCCCGCACCAUGCCGUCCUGGAACGUGGAUGCCACCCCUCUCUUCUGACAUUUCAUGGUUGUUUAGAGUUAGCUGUAGCGCAGCCCGCAUAUGUCUAGUGCCUGGUGGGAGAACGUGAAUUAAUUAAAGUCUCCUCAUGCUUUUAUUCACCAGCUUCUCUAGGAUUUUUGUUGUAAGGCCAAGUUAUCAGAGACACCACGGCUUUCCUCGGCGGCCCGCCAGCACGGGGGAAGGAAGACACUCAGCCCUUAGGAGAGAAGUUCAAGAGGUGCAGCUUACCCUCCAGAGCAACGUGGAUUCAUGGCGUCCAAAUGUCCUGCAUGGAUUCACCUGUUUGACAGAACCUGGCACUCAGAGUAAUGACAAGGCCUGAUAGUUCUUUUUUAUUUUUCAAACCCCAAGUUGAUUAUCCCCUAAGUGCAAAACACUUCCAAAAUAUAUAGUAAGAAAAGGAAUGUACAUUACAUUUAGUCUAAACAGGAGAUCCUAGGAGAAUGUUAGAGACAUUUUGGAGGUUGGGGAAGUGGCGCAAAGGAUGCAUAUUUAUUUAUAUGACUUACGUAGCUUAUCUACAAGAAAUUUCAAAUAUUUCCCUAUUUCAAAUACAGAACAUAUGCCUAAUACAUCCCCCCAUGAUUGAUAAAUGUGAGGUUUUCGGGGUAGAAAGUCACGUGGGGUGAGACUUCCGGGGUUCAUGGGGGGAAGGUGAUAAACAGCAGUCAGAUGAGUUGCAUACUCCUUAGGGCUUGACCUUUGUAAGUGCACCUUCUGGUGGCACUGGCUGCCCCUCCUUGCCUUGUGGUAUCUGCUGACCGUGGGCCUGGGUGCACAGGGUUUCUCUCUGGUCUGACUGAAGUGCUUCCCUGAAGAAGGGACGUUGGGGCAGCUCAUGGAGAAUGCUCCCCAGGCUGGUGGAAUGCCUGCAUCCCAGAGUGGCAGAUGUGGCUUAUCCCCCAGAAGAUGUUUUCUUUGUCUGCAGGGAGACAGGGUUUUCCAAUCUCCCUGUGGCCAGGUGUGAUCUUGUGACUAAAUUCUAAUCAAUGAGAUGUCAGCAAAACCAUCUGGCAGCUUCUGAGAACCUUCCUGAAGAGAUAACUAUGAUGCGCCCUGGAACUCUCCACCCCUUUGUUCUUUCCCCUGUUUGUCGGCGGGAAGAUGGACCAUGGGGAUAACCUCCACUCUGGGGAUGAUGGCAGAGAGGGCAACCAGGGGAGUCUGGCGUCUCGGGACUUUGUGAACCUGCCAUGACAGCCCUAGGCCUCUGAUGUCUCCUGAUUUCAUUUAGGUCAGAGAAGAACACAUUUCUGUCUAGUUUAAACCACUGUUGUUUUGGGUUUUCUGUCACUUACAGCUGAACUAGGUAAAAGGCAGGAUUUAGUUGUGUUUUUUGUUUGUUUCUUUGUUUUUGCCAAAAUGUUGAAUAUACUAGUGACAAUACAUAGAGAUUGACAGCAGAUAGGCACACGGGGGAGUACGGAAUUUCAUUGCAGGCCAAAUCCUGGGGUUCUGAAGGACUCUCCUGAUCCAUGUCGGUGGGCGACCUGAGGUCACUCACAAAUCUCCUUCAGGGCCAGCUACUCCUGGUAGCUGUUAAGACUUCAUAAUAAAGAGUAGCAUGUCAGCAACUCCUGAAAUAUCUUUGUUUUUAAAGCUAGUUGGGGAGAACUGGGUAGAAUUUAUAAUGGGUUCUGCCCUUCAGGUUAGUUAUUUCCGAG